RNAcentral lists this ribosomal RNA (445 nucleotides) under uncultured bacterium. Its description in RNAcentral is "bacterial SSU rRNA". It matches the Rfam family "Bacterial small subunit ribosomal RNA", at positions 335 to 800 of the family's 1533-position model. The record is from RNAcentral.
ACUCCUACGGGAGGCAGCAGUUAGAAUAUUCGGCAAUGGGGGAAACCCUGACCGAGCGACACUGCGUGAAGGAGGAAGGCCUUAGGGUUGUAAACUUCUGAACGAGAGACGAUAAUGACGGUAUCUCGGUAAUAGCACCGGCUAACUCCGUGCCAGCAGCCGCGGUAAUACGGAGGGUCCGAGCGUUAUCCGGAAUUAUUGGGUUUAAAGGGUCCGUAGGCGGGCCGGUAAGUCAGGGGUGAAAGUCUGUAGCUCAACUAUAGAACUGCCUUUGAUACUGCCGGUCUUGAGUCACGGUGAAGUUGCCGGAAUAUGUGGUGUAGCGGUGAAAUGCAUAGAUAUCACAUAGAACACCGAUUGCGAAGGCAGGUGACUAACCGUGUACUGACGCUGAUGGACGAAAGCGUGGGGAGCGAACAGGAUUAGAUACCCUGGUAGGUCAGUC